RNAcentral lists this ribosomal RNA (582 nucleotides) under uncultured bacterium. Its description in RNAcentral is "bacterial SSU rRNA". It matches the Rfam family "Bacterial small subunit ribosomal RNA", at positions 338 to 916 of the family's 1533-position model. The record is from RNAcentral.
CCUACGGGAGGCAGCAGUAGGGAAUUUUCGGCAAUGGGGGAAACCCUGACCGAGCAACGCCGCGUGAAGGAAGAAGGAAUUCGUUUCGUAAACUUCUGUUAUAAAGGAAGAAAGAUGAUAUCAGGAAAUGGAUGUCAAGUGACGGUACUUUAUGAGAAAGCCACGGCUAACUACGUGCCAGCAGCCGCGGUAAUACGUAGGUGGCAAGCGUUAUCCGGAAUUAUUGGGCGUAAAGAGGGAGCAGGCGGUAACAAAGGUCUGUGGUGAAAGCCUGAAGCUUAACUUCAGUAAGCCAUAGAAACCAGGUAACUAGAGUGCAAGAGAGGAUCGUGGAAUUCCAUGUGUAGCGGUGAAAUGCGUAGAUAUAUGGAGGAACACCAGUGGCGAAGGCGACGAUCUGGCUUGUAACUGACGCUGAGUCCCGAAAGCGUGGGGAGCAAAUAGGAUUAGAUACCCUAGUAGUCCACGCCGUAAACGAUGAGUACUAAGUGUUGGGGGUCGAACCUCAGUGCUGCAGUUAACGCAAUAAGUACUCCGCCUGAGUAGUACGUUCGCAAGAAUGAAACUCAAAUGAAUUGACGG